CGCUUUCUCAUAUAGUACUGUAUUUAAUGCUCACAAUAAUUUCAUCGGAUGGGCAUUAAUUUAUUCACUUUGUAAAUAAGGAAAUGAGAUUCAGAAAGAAUAAUAGAUCAAGUAUACUUCAGUUAAAAAAAAAAAAAAAAAAAAGAAGAGGCCCAAAGUUGCAGAGCUAGAAAAUGGCAGUUAGAAUUUAAACUCUGAUUCUUAAUCCUGGCCCUUUAAUCAUUAUACUUUAUUACCUUCCAAACUAAAGGGAAGAUGAAAGAAAAGUUAGAAACAACAAAUGAGCCUAUACCUCACAGUUAUCUCUGGAACAUCAGUGACUGCCUUGCAAACAAGACCCCUAACCAUUGACCUCUGUUCUCUCCCUGUCUGUUAAUGUAUAAUACAGCAGAAAAUCAAGCAAGCAUUGUAAAUCAGCCGUUAUUAGGAGAUGCAUUCGAAAGCCCUCCUGGAGUUCCUGCUGUGGUGCACUGAGCUCUGCUCUUCAGUGAAGAGGAGAGACCGCGUCUGGGUCCCCGCCGCCUUCUGGGAAGUUUCCUUUUCAUCCUGAAAACGUCACCUUCCGUUCCAGUGUGCAUGCACCUAAAGGUAAUGAAAACCAGUCAGAACCAGGAAUUUCUCAACUAGUUGCACUUGGCUGACCAUGGGAGGAGAGGAGGCGGUGCAGCGCACGACAGCAGCGCCUUUCUGAGAAGGUGAGUGUGUGCAGAAUAUUCUCUCGGAAAAACACCAGAGUUAAAUCCCUCCAAGCUAAGUUCUUCAUGGACCCUGACCCUGCCUCUAGCUCCAUUUCCUGCCCAUACCUGUGUGGCACAUAAAAACAAAAGAGCAGUGUGACUAAUUUAAAAGCUUACCCAAUGAAGCGCUUAUUUCCUCAAAAUAAUUGGGUGGUACCCUCCACUUGGGAAAAGAGAAGCAUUUUUCAGCUUAUUUUCUUGUUCUAUUUAUUUUAAAAUAUUUAUUGACCCAAAGGCCAUAUGGUCCCCUCUUCUUACUGCCUCCCCCAUAGAAGCUGCAAAGCCUGGCGCUUUGCUUUCCCAGCAUCCCUUUCAGCUAGUGGUGGUCAUGUGACUCAGUUAUAGCCAUUGAGACCUCACCCGAUGUGGCUUUGGGGAAAGCUCUUACUUUCAUUAUAGAAGAGACAGAAAUAGCCUGUGCUGCCUCUUUCUCCUUCCCCUUGUCUUGAACAUGAAUUUGAUGCCUAGCAAUGCUGGCAGUUACCUUGGGACUAUAAGUUGGUAAGAAUGAAGACGAAAGCCAGCACGCACAGGUUGAAGGGGAAAGGAUGAAAAGAACCCGGGUCCUCAAAACUUCAUUGAAAAAAUAAAUUAAAAGCUAAAGGGGGAAGAAAGUCUCA
RNAcentral lists this long non-coding RNA (1357 nucleotides) under Sus scrofa (pig). RNAcentral's name for it is "lncRNA (ENSSSCG00070022877.1)". Lineage: Eukaryota; Metazoa; Chordata; Mammalia; Artiodactyla; Suidae. The record is from RNAcentral.